RNAcentral lists this ribosomal RNA (492 nucleotides) under uncultured bacterium. Its description in RNAcentral is "partial 16S ribosomal RNA". It matches the Rfam family "Bacterial small subunit ribosomal RNA", at positions 29 to 507 of the family's 1533-position model. The record is from RNAcentral.
AGUGAACGCUGGCGGUAGGCCUAACACAUGCAAGUCGAACGGCAGCACAGUAAGAGCUUGCUCUUACGGGUGGCGAGUGGCGGACGGGUGAGGAAUACAUCGGAAUCUACUUUUUCGUGGGGGAUAACGUAGGGAAACUUACGCUUAUACCGCAUACGACCUACGGGUGAAAGCAGGGGAUCUUCGGACCUUGCGCGAUUGAAUGAGCCGAUGUCGGAUUAGCUAGUUGGCGGGGUAAAGGCCCACCAAGGCGACGAUCCGUAGCUGGUCUGAGAGGAUGAUCGCCCACACGGGAACUGAGCCACGGUCCAGACUCCUACGGGAGGCAGCAGUGGGGAAUAUUGGACAAUGGGCGCAAGCCUGAUCCAGCCAUACCGCGUGGGUGAAGAAGGCCUUCGGGUUGUAAAGCCCUUUUGUUGGGAAAGAAAAGCAGCAGGUUAAUACCCCGCUGUUCUGACGGUACCCAAAGAAUAAGCACCGGCUAACUUCGUG